Molecule: long non-coding RNA, 4155 nt
Filed under: Lynx pardinus (Iberian lynx)
Lineage: Eukaryota; Metazoa; Chordata; Mammalia; Carnivora; Felidae
Source: RNAcentral
CCCAACUGAAGGGAAGCUGGGAAGUGUCUCUGUGUGUCCAAGUGGCAAAGUCACUGGGGUUUAGGACAUGCGUGGGUCAAUAUUGUAAGGCUGACCUCUUUUCUGUAUUUUGUUUCUUCUCCAGGAGACUUCUUGGCAUCAUCACGAAAAAGGAUGUUUUGAGACAUAUGGCCCAGAUGGCAAACCAGGACCCUGAAUCCAUCAUGUUUAAUUAGAAACAAGGUGGCAUUUAUUUUGAGAGAAACACAACUGUGUCAUUUUAAAAGAAAUAAACAAAUGAUAUGUUAUUAUCCUAAUGAACGAUUAUACGCUAGGGGCAGUGGAAAGAAAAGCUUUGUUUGAACGAAAGGAGGAUAAAACCUGGUGUGUGUGUGUGUUUUUUUUUAAAGACAUCCACGAGUAGGCAUUUUAUAGCUUUAACCCCUUGUGAGUUUCCAGCUGUGUUUCUUAAUGAGUUUAUUAACUGCCGUGGGAGCAUGUGGGUGGGUGUAAACGAUGUGGUUUGUACAAGGACACAGAACACAAAUGCUGAGUCAAGAAACGCUUGCCCCUUCUGUUUUAAGGCUGUUUGGGAAGCUUUGAGUCUAAGAGGCCGAGGGGUAUUGGCCCGUCAGCAUCUUUAUUUAUUGGUUCCCGAAGUGUUGCUGCUAUUUUACUGAAUUGGAUUAAAGAUGUUUGCACUGACUUUGUCGGAAAAGAAAAAGAAAUUAAAUCUGAACCGAGUGAAAGCUGCACGAAUGCCAGUGGGCCCACUCGUGACCAUCCCGUUGUCUUGCUCCCGCUCUCAUCCGUCUGUGCACCAACAUCCGGGGGCUUCUGCUCCGCUGACUGUGAGAAACCCUUUCUCGGUGCAGCACCAGCAUCUCGGGGCCACACCGUGAACUCACUGCUCGAGCGUUUAGUGCUCCGCGGGUUUCCUCCCGCACGAAGGGACCCGCCGCGAUUUUGAGGGUAUACGCACCUGCUCAUGGUUUCGCGUCCCUGUUGUAUGUACCUCACUUGUUGAUCGCCGUGGCCUGUGCAUUCUUAAAUAUUGAUCAGUCCGGCACUUUCCACGGGCCAUAUCCUGUAUGCUGCCAGCUUGCCGUAAGCGUGCUUCAAUUUCCAGAUAGCGUACGUGAGAGUCAAAGCUGGCCACCCAGUGUUACUACUUAUUUUUCCUCUCAGCUCUUAUUAAAUACGGCUGCAGGGAGGGUGAGGCAUACGAAGUCUCAGUGGGAACUCCUCCAAAUGGAUUGCGAGAGAAAUGCUAAAUUGAUUCUAAAUCUGUUCCAUUAUCUUCUCUGUAGGAUGCAUAACGUCCGGCUCUAAUGUCUGAGCGCGCGCUUUCAUGCUCGCAGUCAAAGCACAGAAGGGCAGAGUUAAAUUGGAGACCGCCACUUGGAGCACUGGGCACCUUCGUGUUGAACUUAACGGUGCAUUUGUCCCUUUAGUCGGGACUCGGCUCUUUUCUGUGAGAAGGAACCGAGCUGCGGUUCCGGUCCGCUGUGGCACCGGUGUGAGUACAUCCGCUCCCGGGAGCCUGUCACGUGUGUCCCCGCUCCCCCCUUCUCACCGAGUGGCCCGUGCCCUUUGCGAUCUCGGUCUCGGAUAUUGACGUGCCAGGUGUGUGUCUGGCGGCCGGAGAGAAAUCCCACGAACGGUGAUGAGCUGAACGAGAAACCGGGGGUCGGGCACUCUCGCGUGUCUCCACAUUACCACCCAGCAGCCGUACGCUUUGCCAUUGUUGUCUGCCGUCCUUCGUCCUCUGGCUUCUAGCCUCAGAGUCACAGGCCGGGCUCUCUGUUACCCGGCUGCCGUCCAGGCCGUCGGCUUCCUAGGCACGAAGCGGGAGGAGGAGACACGUAGCAAGGUGCGAUGCCUGUGCCCAGGAAGCAGAACUUGCCCACAGGUGCCCAGCUGAUGUCCACUGGCUGGACUUUGGUCCCGCGACUCCCCCUGGCUGCACGUGAGUGUGGGAAGGAGAAGUUUUAGUGAGGCCUGGUACUCUCUGAAUGAACUUUGGAUUCUUCUAACAAGGAAGAGGGACUGGUCCUUGGGAGGGAAGACUGUCCCCUGGAUUGGAUGCCAUCAUCAUGUCUCUAUUGGUGUCCUCCCUGUCCUCCUUACUCUCUUUCUUGCCACACCCUCCAGACAUUGUCCUACUCACCGAGCGGUUCCCCACCCCUUCUCUCAGACCUGACCUAGAACUCCCAGUCGGAAGCCAUCAUUUCUCAGCCCUCGUAAAAAUGCUCAUCUUGUAUAAAAACCUAGCGACUAGCGGGUUUCUGUGAAACUGGUUGAUACAAGAAAAUGUACUGCUGUGUCCUCUGGGUUCAAAAAAGUGAAGUCAGAUCGUGCUGACAAACACUGGAAAAUUUGUUUCUGUGAUCGCUUGGCCCCCUCCAGAAUGAUAUCAAAUAGCCACUUCAGUGUGGAAACACUGGUCAGUACUAGAGAAUUUGAUCUUGGUGUCCCGUUCACGGCACGUUAAGUGUCGAGUCACAGAUCCCAAUAUUAUUGUUGUUACUGGGGUUUCCACGGAGCGUGUGCAAGUGAAGCUGGGUUCUCCUGGACUUGAAAUCCUACGAGGUCUUAAAGAUUGCUUCAUGUAGUUCCCGCUAACUCCCGCCUGGCCUCCCGAAAGAGUGUUAGUUACAGCCUGGAUUUGUAUAAUCCAGAAAGCCCCUUCAGCUAAAACUGGGAGCUUCAAAAGGGAACACGAAACCGUGAACGGAUAGCCAAAGGGCAGUGAAACCACAGAACUUCUUCCUCCUCCAGAUGAGGCCAUAGAGGAAUGAAGGGAUAGUUUACUCCAGGCCAAGGUCACCAAGCCGGGGGGGGGGGGGAGGGUUGUGCUCUGUCCUCCUCCCAGGCCUUAGUGUAGAAGAGGUCUGCGAAUUCACGGCAGACCGUUGGGAGUGUUACUUUGACGCAAAUCGCCUUGUUUUCCUUCAUGAGUUGAACCUCUAAUUUGUCGUGGGGUUCAGGCUCUUGGCAACAGAAGGCCAUGGUCAGACAGGCAGGUGAAGGUCAAGGGUGGGAGAAUUUGCAGCGGGGCUGCCAGAGCUGGUUGCCUUCCUCCCAUGGAGCCCGAAGUCCCCUGUGCGGUCCACUCGCCUGCUGGCCCCGGGCUCUCACGCAAACUCCAGGGGGCGCAGGCUUCCGAGCUGUUUGUCGGUCUUUCUUGUACAAGUACGCGGGUCGGGAUUCUGAAGGGAUUUGCUGUAGCCAAAUGUAGAACCUUGUCUAUCUGGCGAUCUGAUGAGCGGGAAGAGUACAACUGGGAUGUGGAAGUAAAAUAAACAUUUCUCAGAACGGUGUGUUUGUUUCUUUUUCCAGAACCAAACCCUUUAGACUUCUGUAGAACUUUCUGGAUCCUUUCUGAAGCAGUGUUUUAUGUAAAGAAACAUAAAUGCGGGACAGAAACGGAGUUCUCUAACAGAGCACAUCAACCUAUUUCUUGCUCCCCCUCUCUGCUAGUAAGGAAACGGGUUGUAGAAGGACAGACAUCAUAAAGAACAUCCCGAGAGGGACACAUGGAUUUCUCGCGUGUUUCGGUGCACCCCCCGGGAGUGCGGGUGCGUGGGUGGCAUUUAUGGGAAGGUAAAUGUGUUAGAAGCAAUCAGUACUCGGUGUUCGCUGUUCCUCAGAACCAGGCCAGCUCAACUUUCUCUGUUUGGUACUCCCCAAAGACCUUACAAAGGAGAAGACCUCUCAGUAAGAUCUCGUUUUGGCCCCGGUAAGCCACAGAAACUGGGGAAUUGGUUUCACUGAGGGGAGAACUGGUUACUUCGGAUUAUCGACAAGUGCAGAUCUGCUCAGGACUCCUUAUCAGACGCCGAGCUGGAAAAGAUGAGAAACACAAGCCUCUGAAAUGAUUUACACGACGGGGGAGCAUGUAUAUGUGACUUGGGGACAUUAACCAGACUCCAUUUUCGCUGACGCAGUAAUAACUAUUUAUUUGCCGUCCUAGGUGUGCCGGGAAUGAGCCUACAUGCGACUUUUAUGAGAUCUGUUCGCAUUUGGUGUUGGAACGACCACAGAGCAAUGUGGUGGUUUUUUUUUUUUUUAAUUGUAACCCUCUGUGUAAACGUUGGCACCUUACUAAAAAUUAAGUGUUUGAACUUUCCUUUUAAAAAUAAAACGAGCACAGUCUUCAAGCAGCAAGUCGUA